This 314-nucleotide long non-coding RNA is filed under the name Olea europaea (common olive). Its description in RNAcentral is "long non-coding RNA (OEUR_LNC009071)". The record is from RNAcentral. Lineage: Eukaryota; Viridiplantae; Streptophyta; Magnoliopsida; Lamiales; Oleaceae.
AAAUAUUUUGAGGGUUGAUACGGAAUUGCUGUCCAUUCGUGUAACUUUGAUGAUUUUUUAACAUUACAUGUUCCGAUUGCCUCUGUCUUUCUAUUUCCUUUUUGUCUGAGAUGGUACAUGAUCGAUUAUAUUAUUUGUGAGAUACGGUUGUUCUAUAAUUUCCUUUGCUUUCUGCGUACUUGUUUUUAAUUGUAAAUAGGAAAAUAUUGGUUGGAGCAUGCGAGAUUGAAUUGAAUAUCACAUUUUUUUAUGAACCUAGAGAUAGAUAUUAUGCAUUUAAUCUGUAUUUUGUAUUUUUGAUUGGUGGAAAUCUG